Non-coding RNA from Streptomyces sp. FXJ1.172, 75 nucleotides. The record is from Rfam. NCBI's taxonomy places the organism in Bacteria, Bacillati, Actinomycetota, Actinomycetes, Kitasatosporales, Streptomycetaceae.
CUUCACCGAGCCCAGCCGGAGCGGGCGGUUCUCCGGCCGCUCCCGGCCGUAGGUGACGAGGAGCGCCUGGGCCUC